AGCGCUCGCUCUCAUUUUUGUCUAAUAAGGGAUCUUUGCCGCAUGUUUGGCCCGGUAAAGUUUGCUUUUUUCGCUGCGACAUUAGUUCGGAGAAGCUCCGUGUGUGUGCUGGAAGUGCGCUGAACGUUUGUGCUUUGGAUAAUUUCCGACUUUGUAGCAAGAGGACCCUUCUCUCUCCCACGCAUGCAUAGUAUCCGGAGCAUAAACCAGGACCCUGCUGGACUUCAUGAUGACCCUGUCCAGCCUCUCAGUGAUGCUGCUGCAUUGUCAAAACAUCAAAGAAUAGAUGACUCCAUUCCUGGACCGGGACGUUUCCAACCUGUUCUCCUCUUCCAACCCCCCACCUCUCCACUCACCACAACUGGCCAUGGCAGAUGACUAUUCAACAGGAGUCUUGUUCUGAUUGCGGUCCCUUCCAUUAAACAGCUACAACUGCA
This is a long non-coding RNA of Betta splendens (Siamese fighting fish), 437 nucleotides long. RefSeq lists it as uncharacterized. Lineage: Eukaryota; Metazoa; Chordata; Actinopteri; Anabantiformes; Osphronemidae. The record is from RefSeq and is a predicted model, not a curated record. The transcript has 3 exons.